UGGGGAAUAUUGGACAAUGGAGGAAACUCUGAUCCAGCAAUUCUGCGUGUGUGAAGAAGGUCUUAGGACUGUAAAACACUUUUAGUAGGGAAGAAAAAAAUGACGGUACCUACAGAAGAAGCAACGGCUAAAUACGAGCCAGCAGCCGCGGUAAUACGUAUGUUGCGAGCGUUAUCCGGAAUUAUUGGGCUUAAAGGGCAUCUAGGCGGUAAGACAAGUUGAAGGUGAAAACCUGUGGCUCAACCAUAGGCUUGCCUACAAAACUGUUGAACUAGAGUACUGGAAAGGUGGGUGGAACUACACGAGUAGAGGUGAAAUUCGUAGAUAUGUGUAGGAAUGCCGAUGAUGAAGAUAACUCGCUGGACAGAAACUGACGCUGAAGUGCGAAAGCUAGGGGAGCAAACAGG
RNAcentral lists this ribosomal RNA (407 nucleotides) under Verrucomicrobiota bacterium. Its description in RNAcentral is "Verrucomicrobia bacterium partial 16S ribosomal RNA". It matches the Rfam family "Bacterial small subunit ribosomal RNA", at positions 355 to 776 of the family's 1533-position model. Lineage: Bacteria; Pseudomonadati; Verrucomicrobiota. The record is from RNAcentral.